Molecule: ribosomal RNA, 496 nt
Filed under: uncultured bacterium
Lineage: Bacteria
Description: bacterial SSU rRNA
Rfam family: Bacterial small subunit ribosomal RNA
Source: RNAcentral
AACGAACGCUGGCGGCGCGCCUAAUACAUGCAAGUCGAGCGAGAAGGUGUAGCAAUACACUUGUAAAGCGGCGAACGGGUGAGGAAUACAUGGGUAAUCUACCAUCGAGUGGGGAAUAACCAACCGAAAGGUUGGCUAAUACCGCGUACGCCUCCGAGUCUUCGGGUUCGGAGGGAAAGCUGCACUGUGAGUGUAGCGCUCUUUGAUGAGCUCAUGUCCUAUCAGCUUGUUGGUAGGGUAACGGCCUACCAAGGCUUUGACGGGUAGCUGGUCUGAGAGGACGAUCAGCCACACUGGCACUGCGACACGGGCCAGACUCCUACGGGAGGCAGCAGUAAGGAAUAUUGCGCAAUGGGCGAAAGCCUGACGCAGCGACGCCGCGUGGGGGAUGAAGGUCUUCGGAUUGUAAACCCCUUUCGGGAGGGAAGAUGGAACGAGCAAUCGUUCGGACGGUACCUCCAGAAGCAGCCACGGCCAACUUCGUGCCAGCAGCCGA